ACGACCGCAAGGUUGAAACUCAAAGGAAUUGACGGGGGCCCGCACAAGCGGUGGAGCAUGUGGUUUAAUUCGAAGCAACGCGAAGAACCUUACCAGGUCUUGACAUCCUUUGACCACUCUGGAGACAGAGCUUUCCCUUCGGGGACAAAGUGACAGGUGGUGCAUGGUUGUCGUCAGCUCGUGUCGUGAGAUGUUGGGUUAAGUCCCGCAACGAGCGCAACCCUUGAUUUUAGUUGCCAGCAUUUAGUUGGGCACUCUAAAGUGACUGCCGGUGCAAGCCGGAGGAAGGUGGGGAUGACGUCAAAUCAUCAUGCCCCUUAUGACCUGGGCUACACACGUGCUACAAUGGAUAGUACAAAGGGUCGCGAAGCCGCGAGGUGGAGCUAAUCCCAUAAAACUAUUCUCAGUUCGGAUUGUAGGCUGCAACUCGCCUACAUGAAGCCGGAAUCGCUAGUAAUCGUGGAUCAGCAUGCCACGGUGAAUACGUUCCCGGGCCUUGUACACACCGCCCGUCACACCACGAGAGUUUGUAACACCCGAAGUCGGUAGGGUAACCUUUAUGGAGCCAGCCGCCGAAGGUGGGACAGAUAAUUGGGGUGAAGUCGUAACAAGGUAGCCGUAUCGGAAGGUGCGGCUGGAUCACCUCCUUUCUAAGGAA
This 658-nucleotide ribosomal RNA is filed under the name Listeria monocytogenes. RNAcentral describes it as "bacterial SSU rRNA". It matches the Rfam family "Bacterial small subunit ribosomal RNA", at positions 882 to 1533 of the family's 1533-position model. Lineage: Bacteria; Bacillati; Bacillota; Bacilli; Caryophanales; Listeriaceae. The record is from RNAcentral.